Molecule: ribosomal RNA, 429 nt
Filed under: uncultured bacterium
Lineage: Bacteria
Description: bacterial SSU rRNA
Rfam family: Bacterial small subunit ribosomal RNA
Source: RNAcentral
UCGAGAAUCAUUCGCAAUGGGCGCAAGCCUGACGAUGCGACGCCGUGUGAACGAAGAAGGCCUUCGGGUUGUAAAGUUCUUUCGCUUGGGAACAAGCAAUGCGGGUGAAUAAUCCGCAAAGUUGAGGGUACCAGGUAAAGAAGCACCGGCUAACUCCGUGCCAGCAGCUGCGGUAAUACGGAGGGUGCAAGCAUUAAUCGGAUUAACUGGGCGUAAAGGGCGCGUAGGCGGCAAAUCAAGUCAGAUGUGAAAUUCCGGAGCUCAACUUCGGAGCUGCAUCUGAAACUGAUUAGCUAGAGGGUAGACGGAGAAAAUGGAAUUCCACAUGUAGCGGUGAAAUGCGUAGAUAUGUGGAGGAACACCGGUGGCGAAAGCGGUUUUCUAGUUUAUACCAGACGCUGAGGCGCGAAAGCGAGGGGAGCAAACAGG